Molecule: ribosomal RNA, 492 nt
Filed under: uncultured bacterium
Lineage: Bacteria
Description: partial 16S ribosomal RNA
Rfam family: Bacterial small subunit ribosomal RNA
Source: RNAcentral
AGUGAACGCUGGCGGUAGGCCUAACACAUGCAAGUCGAACGGCAGCACAGUAAGAGCUUGCUCUUACGGGUGGCGAGUGGCGGACGGGUGAGGAAUACAUCGGAAUCUACUUUUUCGGGGGGGAUAACGUAGGGAAACUUACGCUAAUACCGCAUACGACCUUCGGGUGAAAGCAGGGGAUCUUCGGACCUUGCGCGAUUGAAUGAGCCGAUGUCGGAUUAGCUAGUUGGCGGGGUAAAGGCCCACCAAGGCGACGAUCCGUAGCUGGUCUGAGAGGAUGAUCAGCCACACUGGAACUGAGACACGGUCCAGACUCCUACGGGAGGCAGCAGUGGGGAAUAUUGGACAAUGGGCGCAAGCCUGAUCCAGCCAUACCGCGUGGGUGAAGAAGGCCUUCGGGUUGUAAAGCCCUUUUGUUGGGAAAGAAAAGCAGCAGGUUAAUACCCCGCUGUUCCGACGGUACCCAAAGAAUAAGCACCGGCUAACUUCGUG